Molecule: ribosomal RNA, 253 nt
Filed under: uncultured bacterium
Lineage: Bacteria
Description: partial 16S ribosomal RNA
Rfam family: Bacterial small subunit ribosomal RNA
Source: RNAcentral
UACGAAGGGGGCGAGCGUUGUUCGGAUUUACUGGGCGUAAAGGGCGCGCAGGCGGCUCAUUUUGUCAGGCGUGAAAGCCCCGGGCUUAACCUGGGAACUGCGUUUGUGACUGUAUGACUAGAGUACGGUAGAGAGGGGUGGAAUUCCUGGUGUAGCAGUGAAAUGCGUAGAUAUCAGGAGGAACAUCGAUGGCGAAGGCAGCCCCUUGGACCUGUACUGACGCUCAUGCACGAAAGCGUGGGGAGCAAACAGG